Molecule: ribosomal RNA, 301 nt
Filed under: uncultured bacterium
Lineage: Bacteria
Description: partial 16S ribosomal RNA
Rfam family: Bacterial small subunit ribosomal RNA
Source: RNAcentral
CAGUAGCCGCGGUAAUACGAAGGGUGCAAGCGUUAAUCGGAAUUACUGGGCGUAAAGCGUGCGUAGGCGGUGAGUUAAGUCUGCUGUGAAAUCCCCGGGCUCAACCCGGGAAUGGCAGUGGAUACUGGCUCGCUAGAGUGUGUCAGAGGAUGGUGGAAUUCCCGGUGUAGCGGUGAAAUGCGUAGAGAUCGGGAGGAACAUCAGUGGCGAAGGCGGCCGUCUGGGACAACACUGACGCUGAGGCACGAAAGCGUGGGGAGCAAACAGGAUUAGAUACCCCAGUAGUCCCUGUCUCUUAUAC